CGGAGCGUAGCGCAGCCUGGUAGCGCACCUGCUUUGGGAGCAGGGGGUCGAUGGUUCGAAUCCAUUCGCUCCGACCA
Molecule: transfer RNA, 77 nt
Filed under: Halobacteriovorax sp.
Lineage: Bacteria; Pseudomonadati; Bdellovibrionota; Bacteriovoracia; Bacteriovoracales; Halobacteriovoraceae
Description: tRNA-Pro
Rfam family: tRNA
About the family: Transfer RNA (tRNA) molecules are approximately 80 nucleotides in length.
Source: RNAcentral